This 215-nucleotide unclassified non-coding RNA is filed under the name uncultured Ceratobasidiaceae. RNAcentral describes it as "sequence contains ITS2". Lineage: Eukaryota; Fungi; Basidiomycota; Agaricomycetes; Cantharellales; Ceratobasidiaceae. The record is from RNAcentral.
AUCUCUCAAACUCAAAAGUUUUUGUUAAUUCAAAACUUUUGUAGUUUGGACUUGGAGGUCUUUUGCUGGCGUUUUUUCAAAUGUCAGCUCCUCUUAAAAAUAUUAGCUUGGGUCUUUUGUAUGUUGGAUCCUUGGUGUGAUAAUUAUCUACGCCAUGAUGUCCCUUCAAACCCUGCUUCUAAUCGUUAUCUUGACUGAUAACAAAUUCAUUUGAC